GACGAACGCUGGCGGCGUGCUUAACACAUGCAAGUCGAACGGAAAGGCCCUGCUUUUGUGUGGUGCUCGAGUGGCGAACGGGUGAGUAACACGUGAGUAACCUGCCCUUGACUUUGGGAUAACUUCAGGAAACUGGGGCUAAUACCGGAUAGGAGCUCCUGCUGCAUGGUGGGGGUUGGACAUUUUCGGCGGUUGGGGAUGGACUCGCGGCUUAUCAGCUUGUUGGUGGGGUAGUGGCUUACCAAGGCUUUGACGGGUAGCCGGCCUGAGAGGGUGACCGGCCACAUUGGGACUGAGAUACGGCCCAGACUCCUACGGGAGGCAGCAGUGGGGAAUAUUGCACAAUGGGCGGAAGCCUGAUGCAGCAACGCCGCGUGCGGGAUGACGGCCUUCGGGUUGUAAACCGCUUUCGCCUGUGACGAAGCGUGAGUGACGGUAAUGGGUAAAGAAGCACCGGCUAACUACGUG
This 468-nucleotide ribosomal RNA is filed under the name uncultured bacterium. Its description in RNAcentral is "partial 16S ribosomal RNA". It matches the Rfam family "Bacterial small subunit ribosomal RNA", at positions 28 to 507 of the family's 1533-position model. The record is from RNAcentral.